Molecule: non-coding RNA, 84 nt
Filed under: unclassified sequences
Description: skipping-rope RNA
Rfam family: skipping-rope RNA
About the family: Firmicutes, Fusobacteria, AlphaProteobacteria, Spirochaetes. Downstream gene
Source: Rfam by way of RNAcentral
AUCCCUCGAGGUGGUAAAUUCCGUUGCAACCACACACCUUUACGGUCAAAAGAGAUGCAGGAGAGGCGACGCCUGCCGAGGGAU